RNAcentral lists this ribosomal RNA (253 nucleotides) under uncultured bacterium. Its description in RNAcentral is "partial 16S ribosomal RNA". It matches the Rfam family "Bacterial small subunit ribosomal RNA", at positions 524 to 776 of the family's 1533-position model. The record is from RNAcentral.
UACGUAGGGUGCGAGCGUUAAUCGGAAUUACUGGGCGUAAAGCGUGCGCAGGCGGUUCGUUGUGUCUGCUGUGAAAUCCCCGGGCUCAACCUGGGAAUGGCAGUGGAAACUGGCGAGCUUGAGUGUGGCAGAGGGGGGUGGAAUUCCGCGUGUAGCAGUGAAAUGCGUAGAGAUGCGGAGGAACACCGGUGGCGAAGGCGGCCCACUGGAUCGGUACUGACGCUGAGGUGCGAAAGCGUGGGGAGCAAACAGG